CCUACGGGAGGCAGCAGUGAGGAAUAUUGGUCAAUGGCCGUAAGGCUGAACCAGCCAAGUCGCGUGAAGGAAGAAGGAUCUAUGGUUUGUAAACUUCUUUUAUAGGGGAAUAAAGGUAUCCACGUGUGGAUAUUUGCAUGUACCCUAUGAAUAAGCAUCGGCUAACUCCGUGCCAGCAGCCGCGGUAAUACGGAGGAUGCGAGCGUUAUCCGGAUUUAUUGGGUUUAAAGGGUGCGUAGGUUGUUUUUUAAGUCAGCGGUGAAAGUUUGGGGCUCAACCAUAAAAUUGCCGUUGAAACUGGAAGACUUGAGUGUGUUUGAGGUAGGUAGAAUGCGUGGUGUAGCGGUGAAAUGCAUAGAGAUCACGCAGAACUCCGAUUGCGAAGGCAGCUUACUAGGCCAUAACUGACACUGAAGCACGAAAGCGUGGGGAGCAAACAGGAUUAGAUACCCCAGUAGUC
RNAcentral lists this ribosomal RNA (460 nucleotides) under uncultured bacterium. RNAcentral describes it as "partial 16S ribosomal RNA". It matches the Rfam family "Bacterial small subunit ribosomal RNA", at positions 338 to 795 of the family's 1533-position model. The record is from RNAcentral.